GCAGGCCUUCGCGCAGGCCGCGUGCCGACGCGUCGGGGUCGCGGGGGAGUAGGACCACGGAGCCCUGCUCGACGUUGGACGCGUCGAUGCCCGCG
This 95-nucleotide transfer RNA is filed under the name Nocardioides szechwanensis. RNAcentral describes it as "tRNA-Pro". The record is from RNAcentral. Lineage: Bacteria; Bacillati; Actinomycetota; Actinomycetes; Propionibacteriales; Nocardioidaceae.